AUCUUUGCGCUUGGGGCAAUGACGCAGCUAAUGAGGUUCUAACCGAGGCGCGUCUAUUGCUGGUUGAAAACUAUUUCCAAACCCCCUCCUAGGCCUGGGUUCAGCCUUGGCCUUCGAGAAUUUCUGGAAGGGCUCCCUUCGGGGUAAAGCCUUACAAUUUUAGUUCAAUAUUUUUACUCACUUCUAUUUAUUAAAUUAUAAUGUUUUAUAAUUUACUUACUGUCACGUAUGUGAUUAAAACAUCUUAAAUAUAUUAUCCACAUUCAUGAGUACUCUUGUUUUAAUAUUUAUAAAGAAUGUAUCUGGUUUUAAAAAUAUUUAUUAAAU
Lupinus albus (white lupine) is the source of this 327-nucleotide non-coding RNA. The record is from the annotation of a GenBank genome assembly. NCBI's taxonomy places the organism in Eukaryota, Viridiplantae, Streptophyta, Magnoliopsida, Fabales, Fabaceae.